Unclassified non-coding RNA from Chelonoidis abingdonii (Abingdon island giant tortoise), 227 nucleotides. The record is from Ensembl. Lineage: Eukaryota; Metazoa; Chordata; Testudines; Testudinidae.
ACAGCUUUGGACAAAAGUCUAUAGCCAGUGCAUUCGUAACUCCCCAUGCACAAGAGCUGACUGUGGCUCUGGGAAGACAUUUUACUCAUUUGGUUUCUUCUUUCUUAUAGUCUUCUUGUCCUGCUCUCAGGUGUUUACCGCCUAUUAGAAUUUCACCUGUACGGGUACUGUGUUUGAGAAAGUCCCAGGACUUGUCAGCUGGUAUAGGCCUCAUAAAAGACAGCUCU